GGAAAUGAGAUGGAGGGGGAGGGAUAAAGAAUCAAGAUGUAUUAUGUCCACGUGGGAACUCCCACCAGGAAAGUGAUGAUCAUGUACUGCAAACGGGUACUAAUAAAAACAUUUCAACAUAUUUUUAAGAAAUCAAACAGAUUCCCCCCUUGCUCCCCCAAAAGAGUAAAGUUGCCUAAAUGUCUCAUUCGGAGCGGUUCCUUCCCGUCAGGCCCUGGCUUCCUGAUCGCGCGCUGUAAUCACGCAGGUGUGGUGGGGGACGCCAAUUAGUGUAGGUCAGUACUAGCGCGGAUCAGCAUGGACUAAGUUACCAGUACUCUGGGGUACUUGCUACUGCCAGUCAUUAACAGAGUGCUCCAAAGAGGACCCGCCCCAGAGCACCCCCCGAAGUCCUGAGGAACCAGGCUGGCCCAGUGCGGGGCUGUAAGGAGUCCUCCCGGGCUUCUGAGCUGCUCCAGUUUGAGACCCGCCCCGGGAACCGCAGCGUCUGGGUAGUGCUGCUUUGGGGCGGGGCAGUCCGGUGGCCUACGGCUUGGGGGACUGGAAGCUCUGGUCUCAGAUGCGUGGUUCGGGGUGACAGUCCCCUCCCUUUAUGCUGCUGUGAUGACGCAGUCAGCGUUUGGCCCCCAGGGGAUGCCCCGUGCGGGGCUUGACCUCCUGAAGGCCCCGACGCGCUCAGGUGCACCGAGGAGGGACGGCAGGUGCGGCUGAUCAGGGCCACGGGACCCGCCGGCCUCUGCUGCGCAGCGGCGUGGGCAUGAGUGGGGCAGCGGCGGCGGGCGCUUCCCGAGGCUCCCGGGCCACGCGCGGCAACCGCCGGACGGCGAUGGAGCGGGGCGAGCAGAACGCUGAGUUGAGCUCCUCUGAGGAUGAGAGCCCCCCUCGAGUGCCAAAGAGGCCACCCUGGAAGAUGCCCAUCAAGUACAGCACCCCUGAGGGAGAGGAGGCAGCCCCGUACUGGAGCCCAAGGCCUGGAGGCCGGGCCUCCUACCUGCAAGAGUCCCCAGUGUCUGCGCUCUCUGCCCAGGACCUUGGGCCCCACCAAGCAGGGCUCAGCCCUAGGGCCACCUUCAGGAGGAGGAGGCUUUCCACCAUCUACGCCUUGGAGGAGGGCCCCAGCGUGCAGCCAGGGACCUGCUCAGACCCCUCAUCCCUCGGGGACAACUCACCAGAGCCCGCCUCGUUGGCCAAGCCACAGCAGAAGGCAGAGGACCUGCAAGGAAAUCGCUGGCCACGCAAUGCAGGUCUGCCUGGGGUGCCAGACACCUCCAAGAGGAAGAGACGGGACCCGAAGGAGCGGGCAGCCGUGAUGCUGCGGGUGAGACAGUGGGAGGCCCGUCUGCUGCAGGACAUCGAGGCAGCUGUGCACCAUGAGCUCACCAUCCAGGCCGAGGGGUUGCCUAGCAUGGGCAUGGUCCAGGUCCAGUUCGAUGCCCAGGAGCCCACCACCUCGGACUGACUUAACUGUCCACACCCACCGCACCAUCCACACCCAUUGCCCUGCGGUCCCUGGAUGACUGCGUGUUUACCCUGUCGGAGUCUAUGCAGUCAUCCGCAGGCUCUCCCCUUGAGCUGAUGAUUAGGAUGCAAUUCUCUGGAACAUUUCACAGAUGAGAUGGAGAACAGUGUGUAUGCGCUGCCCACAGGAAGAUGCCCGGGAAGCCAGCUGCAGAAGGAAGGGGCGCUACCACCCAAGUGCCCAGACGCAGGCAGAACGCAGUCCCUGUUCAUCCUUCUAAGACUUUCUGGGAGAGGUGGCUGUGAGGAACCCGGAACAGGGAAGCGGGGCAUUCCCAGAGCCGGACGCACGGGAUGUGUGUGUGGCAUGUGGGGUUGGACAAACAGCAGGAUUCCUCAGUGAAGGCUUUCAUGAGCACCUGGUAAGGCUGGUGCUUGGGAGGGGCUCGCUUAGGGAAAAGCACAGGUGUAACUUACACCAUUGCUUGGCAUAGAAAUGAGUCCCUCAGUCCUCACAGUGUGUGCAGACCCUCACGGUCUGCACAAGACGCAGUCAGAAAACCCUCUGAGGGAAGGAAAUGCAUUAAGUACCUGCUUUUCCUUGGUAGUUUUCCUCCCGUUGAAAAUGCCCGGAACUCUGAGAAGCUGCUGCCUCUAACCUUUCUUGACAUCUGAACAUCAUAUUUGCACCUGCUGCCUAUGCCCCACUGCCCCUUUGUAGGCAGGUCCAGAGAACCAGCACAUGGCACUGCCGUGCUCUGCCAGAUGACCUGCCGGGGGUGUGGAUUUAAACCACCGCCAGCGAUGCACGGAUAGUUGGUGUAUUUGUUUUCUGGAACAUGCCACUUUCUGCGAGUUUAGCGCAUGGAUGUCUGUUGUGUUUUCCUUCUCUCUGACUGCAUAACACGGGAUCCCAAACUGAGUGACACGGAGGUUCAUCGCUGCAUUAUCUCCUGCCUUUGAGCCCUGCCUGGGUCUCGAGGUGAGGUCAGGGGGCUUCGUGCCUGGAGGGUCUGAGCAGGAAUCUACCCCAAGGCUCAUGCAGCUUGGCAGAAAGUGGGUCUUGGGGUUGUUCUGUUCCCUCCCUGGCUGCCGGGCACAGACCUGUCCCCAGACCCUAAAGGGCCCCCAUGCUCCUAGUCACGUGGCUCCCUGUCUUCAGGCCACACGAAACCUCCCAUCUUCGGAAUCUGU
Molecule: long non-coding RNA, 2652 nt
Filed under: Chinchilla lanigera (long-tailed chinchilla)
Lineage: Eukaryota; Metazoa; Chordata; Mammalia; Rodentia; Chinchillidae
Description: lncRNA (ENSCLAG00000028145.1)
Source: RNAcentral